RNAcentral lists this ribosomal RNA (488 nucleotides) under uncultured bacterium. RNAcentral describes it as "bacterial SSU rRNA". It matches the Rfam family "Bacterial small subunit ribosomal RNA", at positions 903 to 1397 of the family's 1533-position model. The record is from RNAcentral.
AAAGGAAUUGACGGGGGCCCGCACAAGCAGCGGAGCAUGUGGCUUAAUUCGAAGCAACGCGAAGAACCUUACCAGGGCUUGACAUAUCGGUGAAGCCGGAGAGAUCCGGUGGCCGAGAGGAGCCGAUACAGGUGGUGCAUGGCUGUCGUCAGCUCGUGCCGUGAGGUGUUGGGUUAAGUCCCGCAACGAGCGCAACCCCCGCCGCGUGUUGCCAGCAUUCAGUUGGGCACUCACGCGGGACUGCCGGCGUCAAGCCGGAGGAAGGCGGGGACGACGUCAAGUCAUCAUGCCCCUCAUGCCCUGGGCCGCACACGUGCUACAAUGGCCGGCACAACGGGUUGCCACCCCGCGAGUGGGAGCGGAUCCCGAAAGCCGGCCCCAGUUCGGAUCGCAGGCUGCAACCCGCCUGCGUGAAGCCGGAGUUGCUAGUAAUCGCGGAUCAGCACGCCGCGGUGAAUACGUUCCCGGGCCUUGUACACACCGCCCGU